UAGGGAAUCUUCGGCAAUGGACGAAAGUCUGACCGAGCAACGCCGCGUGAGUGAAGAAGGUUUUCGGAUCGUAAAACUCUGUUGUUAGAGAAGAACAAGGACGUUAGUAACUGAACGUCCCCUGACGGUAUCUAACCAGAAAGCCACGGCUAACUACGUGCCAGCAGCCGCGGUAAUACGUAGGUGGCAAGCGUUGUCCGGAUUUAUUGGGCGUAAAGCGAGCGCAGGCGGUUUCUUAAGUCUGAUGUGAAAGCCCCCGGCUCAACCGGGGAGGGUCAUUGGAAACUGGGAGAUUUGAGUGCAGAAGAGGAGAGUGGAAUUCCAUGUGUAGCGGUGAAAUGCGUAGAUAUAUGGAGGAACACCAGUGGCGAAGGCGGCUCUCUGGUCUGUGACUGACGCUGAGGCUCGAAAGCGUGGGGAGCAAACAGG
RNAcentral lists this ribosomal RNA (429 nucleotides) under Gemmatimonadota bacterium. Its description in RNAcentral is "Gemmatimonadetes bacterium partial 16S ribosomal RNA". It matches the Rfam family "Bacterial small subunit ribosomal RNA", at positions 355 to 776 of the family's 1533-position model. Lineage: Bacteria; Pseudomonadati; Gemmatimonadota. The record is from RNAcentral.